GGGGAGGUCCAUAGCUCAGCUGUAGAGCAUCUACUUUGCAUAAAGAAAGUCCCAGGUCCAACCCCUGGCUUCUCCA
Non-coding RNA from Podarcis lilfordi (Lilford's wall lizard), 76 nucleotides. NCBI's taxonomy places the organism in Eukaryota, Metazoa, Chordata, Lepidosauria, Squamata, Lacertidae. The record is from the annotation of a GenBank genome assembly.